AGGAGAGGAGAGGACCCAGCCUGCGGGUCUCAAGCAGGCAGCUUAGCAGAGAGCUGUAAGCCUUCUACGGGAGGCAGAGCAGAAGGCAGACAGAGAGUGCAAGCUGAGGCACUCUCUCAGUCUCCUGAAGCGGCUGACGCUCAGGAGGCAGGGGAGUGCUCUGCUGUUGGUAGGAGAGGGGAGACAGCAGAGGCUCCAAGAGGGAGCUGGAAUCAGGGGAAUCACCCUGCAGCUCCUCCUAACUCAGAGGAGUAUUUCUUGUAAAAGAAGAGAAAGGAGAAAUUGCUCCCAGAAGGAGGGAGAAUGACUGGGAACUGGAGAACCGGUCUGAGGCUGUCAUAUGAGGCCUGGAAACAUCUUGAAUGCAUCACCCAGUGGUUGGCGCCUGGACAGGGUGUAGGGGAGGCGGAGCCCUGUGGACCACCGUGUCAGAUGACCGUAUGCUGCUUUAAGCCAACCUUUACCUGCCAAUGUCCCAGCACAUCGCAUCCAGCCUGGAGACUGGGUAUAUGUGAAAACUUGAAAAUGGUCUCCCCUUGAACCCAAGUGGCAAGGACCGUAUCAAGUCCUCCUCACCUGCCACACCGCCGUAAAAGUAGCAGAAAAGAACAACUAGAUUCAUUAUACUCGUACAAAGAAGACAGAAAUUUCAUCAAAGCUCAGGAUCAACUCCAACACAAGCUUCCCUGACCUGGAAAAGGGGAAGCCAGAAGAAGAUGACUGCGGACUUCGCGGGAGCACCGCACGCCCACCUGACCGCGACAAGGGUGAGCCAGAAGCAGACGAAAAAAUAAAAACAAACACCUCCUGGACCUGCAGCCCAUUAAAUAAUAUAAAAAUCAAACUAACCAAAGUCCACUAAUAAACUAUCACCCUUUUAGAGUCCUGCCCAGCCCAAAGAACACCAAACUCCAAGUACUGCAUGCUUUAGACACUUUUAGAUCAGCCAAAUCCAAGUACUUUGAGACUGUAACAUGCCCCAGAAAAACAGUUAUUGGAGCUGCAGGGUUGUUUAUACUGUUUGUGCUGAUUUUUGUUAUAAUAUGGCUUUUAUAACUAUGUUAUUUCUAAUCUUUCUCUUUGCUAGAAAAAUAAGUCUUUUACAGAGGUCAACUAUAGCUACCAGUUGCUGCAGAUGUGCUAAUCCUGGCACCUGCAGUUUUCCUGUCUAGAUAAGCAAUUCAAUCAAACUCUCUAAAAUAGACAGAAAGGUCAACAUUGCCCACUAGUAUCCUCCCUCACAUUGCUGUAGUUCAGCAGAAGUCCGAGUAUUUACUUAUAGAACAGAAUAUUGUGUAAAGCCUAGCCACCCAGUUUUCAAACAAUUUGCAGAGUCUCCUCAGGCUAAGACUACUCUUAAACCUACUGUUGCCCAUAUCUCUAAUAACAAUAUGUACCUCCAAUACGUUGAGAGAGCCGCUAAAACAGAAAACCAAAAUAACUGUUGGGUGUGCAGUCAUUUUCCUCUCCACACCCAAGGAGGAAUUCCCAUGACUCCCAUCCCCUGAGGCCCCAUCGAGUCACUUUUAAACCCCUCUAAUAACCAAGCUUGAGACCAAAAUCAGCAAGAGUUCCUUUUAGUAAAGCCUGUUGUUAAAGAUUAGUGUUUUUAUGUAAACUGCUCAGUAUCAAACUGCAUCAAUUUAGGCACCAGCAUAUAUCACCACUAUUUUACUAGUUUAAUUAGAGGAGACUGGCGUAAUAAUAAUACAGCAACCCCUACCUAUUGCAGCUCUUACAAUGAUUUCUACAGUGGCAAAAAUUUAACCAAGAGCACUAAUCCUAUCUGCACCCUCAUCUCCUCUUUAAAUAAUACCUUGUAGUAUUGUUUAUACACUAAUACCUCCUGGGGACAACGCUUCUUCAAUGAAACUGCAAAUCCUUCCUUUAAAUCAAAAGGUAAACGAGGAGUACUAGAACUAAGAAAUGGUAGCCAAAUACCUCCUAAGUAUUCAAACCUCACUGCUUUAAAAGAACAAUACUGGGUCUAUGACUCCCAUGCCUACCAUAAAAUCUCUGCCAAAGGAAAAGGUAUCUGCUAUCUGGCAAUACUAAAACCCUCUACGUCCUUUGCCACACACCUUCCAUGGGGCAGGUGGCAAAACAAGAGGGAUUUGCAAAAAAGCCAUGAUAUAGUAAACAAAUAUAAAAAAACUCCACUUACCAAAGAAGUAUUACUCAGGUGUUCCCUUGCAAGUAUGUUCCCGGGAAUAGACACUGUGUGUCUUGAAAGAUUUACAUUACGCCUCCAAGCUGUGAUAGAAAUCAUGGCUCACGAAUUCAGUGAAGGUCACAAAGAACUCUCGAAGGCCAUUACUGCUUUAGCUGACACCCAAGAAGAACUCUGACAAAUAAUAAUUCAAAACUGUAUAGCCUUCGAUUUUCUCCACGCCGCCCAAAAAGAAGUGCAUGCACAGUCAUCAAACCAGAAUGUUGUGUAUGGGUUAACAGUUCUUUUACCAUAGUUCAAACCCACUUCAAUGAUACAGCUGUACAUACCCAAAAAGCCGAAAAUGUAGCUAAAAUCCUCAAAGAUGCAUUUCUUAGCUAGCUUACUAACUAGUUCUCUUCCCUUACAGGAUAGCUUAGACCUUUUAUAUUAAGCUUAAUCAGAAUUGUUAUAACUGUAAUCUGCCUGUUGUGCUGUUUUCAGUGUUUAUGCUCUCUAGUACAACAGUUUAUGCAAAGGCAAGUAAAAAUGUAUGGUCAGUUUGUACAAAUAUCCAACAACAAUCAUCAAAACCUAACCCCACAAGAAUUUAAAUACCUAAAAGUAUGUUCCAAAAAUUCCUCUAGAAAUUUGGAACAAAGGGGGGGGACUGUGGUAGGCAUCUUUGUUAUUACCCUGAAAUAAAAUAGUUUUCUGAUAGCAUACUGUUAGGUUAACAAUAAUUUAGAUUAUUAAGAAGUAUUAGCUUUACAGCUGAAUACAAGGCAUGACCUGUGGCCUAGCAAUAUUGCUGACCACAAGGCAGAAUGAUAGCUAAGCCUUUGCUUAUGUUAAGGAAUCAUUUAACUGUGUUAACCAUUUUCUGAGUAAAAUGCAGCAAGUGAAUCUGUGUCUGUGUGCUGUAAAAUCAGCUACAGCAAGGAACAAGAUAAGACAAAGAAGCCAUUGUUCUAAGUACAGUAAUCGUGUCCUUAAGAAAUAUCUACUACUGUGCAAGUUUUUGCUAACAUAUCAUAAUGUUACUGUUACUUAACUUUUAGCUUUUAGAAAGUGCUAGUUCAGCUUAAUAGAACUAUGCUGUUAUGAAGAUCUGUGAAGCACCGCCCAAGUAUUGCUUUUUAUUAACCCUGUAGUCUUGCCUUGUUGUAAAAAGUAUAAAAGAACACCCCACCCUUUAGGGGGGGCCAUUUUGCCUCUUUGCUGGCUUAAUGGUCAUUGCUCGAGCAAAUAAACUGCAGUUAAUUCUU
This is a long non-coding RNA of Alligator mississippiensis (American alligator), 3417 nucleotides long. RefSeq lists it as uncharacterized. The transcript has 2 exons. The record is from RefSeq and is a predicted model, not a curated record. Lineage: Eukaryota; Metazoa; Chordata; Crocodylia; Alligatoridae.